Molecule: unclassified non-coding RNA, 364 nt
Filed under: uncultured bacterium
Lineage: Bacteria
Description: contains 16S-23S intergenic spacer region
Source: RNAcentral
UCCCGGUUGGCCCGGGCAGUCUCGCAUGAAAAAUACAACAUGCGAUAAGGGUUGCGCUCGUUGCGGGACUUAACCCAACAUCUCACGACACGAGCUGACGACGGCCAUGCAACAUCUGUCACCAGGUUCCCGAAGGCACUCCACUAUUUCUAGCGGAUUCCUGGGAUGUCAAGCCUUGGUAAGGUUCUAGGCGUAGCGUCCGAUUAAACCACAUCAUCCUCUGCUUGUGCGGGUCCCCGUCAAUUCCUUUGAGUUUUAAGCUUGCGCUCGUACUCCCCAGGCGGCUUACUUAUCGCGUUAGCUUCACAGCACAGGGGGUCGAUACCCCAUACUAUUAGUAAGCAUCGUUUACGGCGUGGACUAC